This 567-nucleotide ribosomal RNA is filed under the name uncultured bacterium. RNAcentral describes it as "bacterial SSU rRNA". It matches the Rfam family "Bacterial small subunit ribosomal RNA", at positions 102 to 657 of the family's 1533-position model. The record is from RNAcentral.
ACGGGUGAGUAACACGUAAGGAACCUGCCUCAAGGAUUGGGAUAACUCCGAGAAAUCGGAGCUAAUACCGGAUAGUUCAACGGACCGCAUGGUCCGCUGAUGAAAGGCGCUCCGGCGUCACCUUGAGAUGGCCUUGCGGUGCAUUAGCUAGUUGGUGGGGUAACGGCCCACCAAGGCGACGAUGCAUAGCCGACCUGAGAGGGUGAUCGGCCACACUGGGACUGAGACACGGCCCAGACUCCUACGGGAGGCAGCAGUAGGGAAUCUUCCACAAUGGACGAAAGUCUGAUGGAGCAACGCCGCGUGAGUGAUGAAGGUUUUCGGAUCGUAAAACUCUGUUGUAAGGGAAGAACACGUACGAGAGGAAAUGCUCGUACCUUGACGGUACCUUACGAGAAAGCCACGGCUAACUACGUGCCAGCAGCCGCGGUAAUACGUAGGUGGCAAGCGUUGUCCGGAAUUAUUGGGCGUAAAGCGCGCGCAGGCGGCCUUUUAAGUCUGAUGUGAAAGCCCCCGGCUCAACCGGGGAGGGCCAUUGGAAACUGGAAGGCUUGAGUACAGAAGAGA